AUGGCGCACGUACAGGUACGUGGUCGCGUCGGCCAUCGUGGGACGGCGGGGAGCGUGCUGCAGAUACCCGUCGCCAUGUACCUGCUGUGCAAGAGCAAAAGGGCGAUACCCAGCGCCAUAAUCCUCGACAUCAGCAUGCACGCUGACAUAGCGAUCAGCGUCGUGCUGGCAAGCGGCGUCGGCGCCGGGUUCGGCGCGACCAACGACGUUCUUCGCUACGUCCGGGCGGGUGAAUGGGACGGCAGGCAGGAAGACAAGCGGGCUCUCGUCAACUACUUGAACAGGGCGAUCGUCCCCGUCGUCUUCCUCCUCGUAGGCAUGGUCCUGUCCAUCUGCGCCACCGUCGUCUCCGCCAGGCUCCGCGCCGUGGCGACAAACGAUUCUGAAGGUGGUGUCUGA
Molecule: ribosomal RNA, 399 nt
Filed under: Triticum aestivum (bread wheat)
Lineage: Eukaryota; Viridiplantae; Streptophyta; Magnoliopsida; Poales; Poaceae
Description: partial small subunit ribosomal RNA
Source: RNAcentral